UGCAUAUCCAAUUUAACGGAGGAAAAGAAACCAACAGGGAUUACCUCAGUAACGGCGAGUGAAGCGGUAACAGCUCAAAUUUGAAAUCUGGCUCUUUUAGUGCCCGAGUUGUAAUUUGUAGAAGAUGCUUUGGGCGUGGCUCCGGUCUAAGUUCCUUGGAACAGGACGUCAUAGAGGGUGAGAAUCCCGUAUGUGACUGGGUGCCUUUGUCCGUGUAAAGCUCUUUCGACGAGUCGAGUUGUUUGGGAAUGCAGCUCAAAAUGGGUGGUAAAUUUCAUCUAAAGCUAAAUAUUGGCCAGAGACCGAUAGCGCACAAGUAGAGUGAUCGAAAGAUGAAAAGCACUUUGGAAAGAGAGUUAAACAGUACGUGAAAUUGUUGAAAGGGAAGCGCUUGCAACCAGACUUGCAUGUGAUUGAUCAUCCGAGGUUUUCCCCGGUGCACUCGAUUACGUUCAGGCCAGCAUCGGUUUGGGUGGUUAGAUAAAGACUUAGGGAAUGUAGCUUCUUUCGGGGAGUGUUAUAGCCUUAGGUGCAAUGUAGCCUACCCGGACCGAGGACCGCGCUUCGGCUAGGAUGCUGGCGUAAUGGUUGUAAGCGACCCGUCUUGAAAACACGGA
Molecule: ribosomal RNA, 617 nt
Filed under: uncultured Pezizomycotina
Lineage: Eukaryota; Fungi; Ascomycota
Description: eukaryotic LSU rRNA
Rfam family: Eukaryotic large subunit ribosomal RNA
Source: RNAcentral